UACGUAGGGGGCAAGCGUUGUUCGGAUUUACUGGGCGUAAAGGGCGCGUAGGCGGCCAGUGCAAGUCAGUUGUGAAAUCUCCGAGCUUAACUCGGAAAGGUCAACUGAUACUGCUCGGCUAGAGUGCGGAAGGGGCAACUGGAAUUCUUGGUGUAGCGGUGAAAUGCGUAGAUAUCAAGAGGAACACCUGCGGCGAAGGCGGGUUGCUGGGCCGACACUGACGCUGAAGCGCGAAAGCUAGGGGAGCGAACGGG
Molecule: ribosomal RNA, 254 nt
Filed under: uncultured bacterium
Lineage: Bacteria
Description: partial 16S ribosomal RNA
Rfam family: Bacterial small subunit ribosomal RNA
Source: RNAcentral